This 497-nucleotide ribosomal RNA is filed under the name uncultured bacterium. RNAcentral's name for it is "partial 16S ribosomal RNA". It matches the Rfam family "Bacterial small subunit ribosomal RNA", at positions 28 to 507 of the family's 1533-position model. The record is from RNAcentral.
GAUGAACGCUGGCGGCGUGCCUAAUACAUGCAAGUCGAGCGAACAGAUAAGGAGCUUGCUCCUUUGACGUUAGCGGCGGACGGGUGAGUAACACGUGGGUAACCUACCUAUAAGACUGGAAUAACUCCGGGAAACCGGGGCUAAUGCCGGAUAACAUUUAGAACCGCACGGUUCUAAAGUGAAAGAUGGUUUUGCUAUCACUUAUAGAUGGACCCGCGCCGUAUUAGCUAGCUGGUAAGGUAACGGCUUACCAAGGCAACGAUACGUAGCCGACCUGAGAGGGUGAUCGGCCACACUGGAACUGAGACACGGUCCAGACUCCUACGGGAGGCAGCAGUAGGGAAUCUUCCGCAAUGGGCGAAAGCCUGACGGAGCAACGCCGCGUGAGUGAUGAAGGUCUUCGGAUCGUAAAACUCUGUUAUUAGGGAAGAACAAAUGUGUAAGUAACUGUGCACGUCUUGACGGUACCUAAUCAGAAAGCCACGGCUAACUACGUG